RNAcentral lists this non-coding RNA (177 nucleotides) under Azoarcus sp. RNAcentral describes it as "6S RNA". It matches the Rfam family "6S / SsrS RNA". From Rfam's summary of the family: E. coli 6S RNA was the first non coding RNA to be sequenced, but its function was unknown until recently. Lineage: Bacteria; Pseudomonadati; Pseudomonadota; Betaproteobacteria; Rhodocyclales; Zoogloeaceae. The record is from RNAcentral.
AGCCCCCUGCGGUGUUCGUGGAAGCCGUAAUUCCGUGAACCAAUGUAGAAGAACGGUUGCUGACUACAGAACGCCGGUGUGCUCGCCCCAUGCGGGUGAGCCUGAAGCGGAAGGAAGGUGACCCCCUGAACCUCAGGUUCAGGAUAAACCGGCAAAUACGGCAUCUGCGGGGGACCC